AGAGUUUGAUCCUGGCUCAGGAUGAACGCUGGCGGCGUGCCUAAUACAUGCAAGUCGAGCGAACGGACGAGAAGCUUGCUUCUCUGAUGUUAGCGGCGGACGGGUGAGUAACACGUGGAUAACCUACCUAUAAGACUGGGAUAACUUCGGGAAACCGGAGCUAAUACCGGAUAAUAUUUUGAACCGCAUGGUUCAAAAGUGAAAGACGGUCUUGCUGUCACUUAUAGAUGGAUCCGCGCUGCAUUAGCUAGUUGGUAAGGUAACGGCUUACCAAGGCAACGAUGCAUAGCCGACCUGAGAGGGUGAUCGGCCACACUGGAACUGAGACACGGUCCAGACUCCUACGGGAGGCAGCAGUAGGGAAUCUUCCGCAAUGGGCGAAAGCCUGACGGAGCAACGCCGCGUGAGUGAUGAAGGUCUUCGGAUCGUAAAACUCUGUUAUUAGGGAAGAACAUAUGUGUAAGUAACUGUGCACAUCUUGACGGUACCUAAUCAGAAAGCCACGGCUAACUACGUGCCAGCAGCCGCGGUAAUACGUAGGUGGCAAGCGUUAUCCGGAAUUAUUGGGCGUAAAGCGCGCGUAGGCGGUUUUUUAAGUCUGAUGUGAAAGCCCACGGCUCAACCGUGGAGGGUCAUUGGAAACUGGAAAACUUGAGUGCAGAAGAGGAAAGUGGAAUUCCAUGUGUAGCGGUGAAAUGCGCAGAGAUAUGGAGGAACACCAGUGGCGAAGGCGACUUUCUGGUCUGUAACUGACGCUGAUGUGCGAAAGCGUGGGGAUCAAACAGGAUUAGAUACCCUGGUAGUCCACGCCGUAAACGAUGAGUGCUAAGUGUUAGGGGGUUUCCGCCCCUUAGUGCUGCAGCUAACGCAUUAAGCACUCCGCCUGGGGAGUACGACCGCAAGGUUGAAACUCAAAGGAAUUGACGGGGACCCGCACAAGCGGUGGAGCAUGUGGUUUAAUUCGAAGCAACGCGAAGAACCUUACCAAAUCUUGACAUCCUUUGACAACUCUAGAGAUAGAGCUUUCCCCUUCGGGGGACAAAGUGACAGGUGGUGCAUGGUUGUCGUCAGCUCGUGUCGUGAGAUGUUGGGUUAAGUCCCGCAA
Molecule: ribosomal RNA, 1105 nt
Filed under: Staphylococcus aureus W70590
Lineage: Bacteria; Bacillati; Bacillota; Bacilli; Caryophanales; Staphylococcaceae
Description: bacterial SSU rRNA
Rfam family: Bacterial small subunit ribosomal RNA
Source: RNAcentral